CCCUGCAGCAGCUGCACCAGUGGGGAAACUGAGGCUGGGGAGGCGGAGGGACUGCCAAGGUCACCGGGCGGGCGGGAACGGUGCCGCGAUGGGACACUGCGGGCGGCUGGGCUUAGGCGCGCGCGUCGGGAGGGGCUGAAGUCCAGGCGGAGGCGGGCGCGAGGCUGCGGGACGGGUGGACGUUCCCGCCCAGCGCCUUGGCCACGCUGGCGAGGCCCUUCCUCCCUCGGGGAGCCCGGCUCUGCCGGUCUGUACGAGGAUCUGGUCUAGAGGCUCGGGGGUGCGCGGGGUGGGGAGUCGGGGGCGGGCGGGGAAGGACCUGUCCCCGGGACCCCAGGGUGCCAAAGAAGGAGAAAGGGAACACGAGCUGGGAGGACGCAUCAACAGGUGGCGAAGGGGCCAUAGUGUGCUGGGUGUCAUGGAUAUAGCAGUGAAGGAAGCUGACGAGCAGCUCCCCUUGUGGAGCUCGUGUCCUCAUGAGGACCUUCAGGCUCAAAGAUGUCACCUGAUGUACUCCGGAUCCCAGGCUGUCAAGGACUAACAGUCCAAACGUAGGGCCUGUCCAGGGCCUCUGCUGGUCACCUGCUUGCCCUUUGCUGAUCCACAAAGCUUCCUGAUGAGAUGGAAUCUGUGCUUCCUGAGUGUUGUCAGCCAGGGCAGUGGCCUCUGAUCUCCUGGAAGUGUGCCUUCAGGUCAGGUGGUGAAGUCAUCGGGGCAGGGGGAGGCAAACUGAGAAAGGGAGAGUUCACUGUCGGAAGGACAGAGCUGCUCCGUGGCCCGCAGCAGGACAUCGGUGGGGACCAGCCGUGGGCAUGUGCAUGGCUGCCGUCUUAGUGAUGACAGCAAAACCUCGUGGGUCCAGGUAAUGUAGUCUUGUCACUUUAAGGCACAGAACUCGCAACAGUCCUGCAAGGCAACCAGGUUCGUCCUCGUUUUACAGAUGAGGAAACUGAGGACCAGGGAUGACAUCACUUCGCUGAGGUCUCCAAGAGAGAGCAAGAACCGGCUCUCAGAGUCCAAACCCACUCUACCAUCCACACCUGCCCCGGGGUACCCCCAGGGGUUGGCUGUCUGGUUCAGAAACCUGUGCUCUCCUGGCCUGAUACCCGGGCUGUCUCUGGCAGAUCCAGGAGCACGGUUUUAAGGAUCAGUCUCGGUCCCAGAGCUCCAGAGAGGCAGCUGUGACACAGUGGCAGUGGCAGGAGAGAGGGGCCAUAUUCAAGGGGAGAGAGAGUGGAAAUGGUACAAGACGGACAGAGGGUGAGUGUGGAGCUUCAGGACCCCCGUGACCUGGUGAAGAGAGUCUCGCCGUAAAGCAUGAUGGAUAGACGAAUUCGGUUGAUCGGGGACAUUCCGCUCUGCUGGAGAUGGAGAUCUGACCCAGGAGGGGUCCCACCCGGGACCUGCACUGUUGUGGGUGGGCGAGGUCUGGGGGACUGAGACGGGACCCUGUGUGUUGAUGCCCAAAGGCACAAUAAAGGCAGGUGGAUAUGCACGUCACUGCCUCUGCCUGGGGCAUCCCCGUUUCCCUCCUGAGGUCAACAGAUAGAACCUGGGGUUUGGAGUCGCACAGACCUGGAUUCCAAACCAUGCUCUACCUUCUACUCAUAACACAGCCUUGGCCACACGACUUGCCCAUCUCUAAAAGGGGCAGCAAUGCUUGCCUCCAUAGACUCUGGGGUGAGAAUUAGGAGGCUGCCUGCGGGAAGCGCAGGGUCAGGACCUGAAAGAUGGGUCAGAUUUGAGACUUGGUGAUCACCUACCAGAGGCCUCUACCAAGGAUCACCUCCUCCAGGAAGCCUGCUUGGCAUCCAUCCCACCAGCAAAGCUGCCCUCUUCCCUGGGUCGCAGCUGCCUCCCAUGUGGCUUUUGUCUAGUUCAGCGCUGCCUUUCUGGUGCCUAGUCCUGUCUUGCCACUCGAAAUGGCGGACGUUGAUUGAGCCCUCGAACCUCCCUGACACCCGGCCAGGUGCCUGCGUGUUGCUCCCUCACGUGAUCCUCAGAUCUAGCCUGGUAUCUGCCUUUCAUAGAAGAGUCCUGUCAGCCGUGGAGGCAGCGUGAACUUGAGCCCGAGCAGCCUGCCAGCCCCCAGCCCCCGGCUGCGGCUCCAGGAGAGAGCUCUGUGCCAGCUGGGCCAGCCUCACCCAGUUCUUCAGUCCGGGAGCCUAGCACCGGGCCUGGCACACAGGAGCCUCCGUGAGUGUGCGAGGCUGUUCUGUUGGCACCUGCUGCCUUGGUCAUCACUGACUAGAGGAGGUGGACCAUGGUGCCCAGCCCCCUGAAGGGACAGACCAUGUCUGACAGAAUGUUCCCAGUCUGCAGCAAAAUGGAGAAGAAAAGCCAGGACAUUGCAGAGAGAUUUCUGUAAAGCUUCAUCUAGUUGAUGUCAAGAAAUACCCCUUUUCUCCCUGAGAGCGUCCUUUACG
Molecule: long non-coding RNA, 2426 nt
Organism: Equus quagga
Lineage: Eukaryota; Metazoa; Chordata; Mammalia; Perissodactyla; Equidae
Exons: 4
Source: RefSeq, a predicted model, not a curated record